RNAcentral lists this ribosomal RNA (473 nucleotides) under uncultured bacterium. Its description in RNAcentral is "bacterial SSU rRNA". It matches the Rfam family "Bacterial small subunit ribosomal RNA", at positions 30 to 495 of the family's 1533-position model. The record is from RNAcentral.
AUUGAACGCUGGCGGCAUGCUUUACACAUGCAAGUCGAACGGCAGCACGGGUGCUUGCACCUGGUGGCGAGUGGCGGACGGGUGAGUAAUACAUCGGAACGUGUCCUGAAGUGGGGGAUAACGCAUCGAAAGAUGUGCUAAUACCGCAUAAUCUCUAAGGAGAAAAGUAGGGGAUCGAAAGACCUUAUGCUUUUGGAGCGGCCGAUGUCUGAUUAGCUAGUUGGUAAGGUAAUGGCUUACCAAGGCGACGAUCAGUAGUUGGUCUGAGAGGACGGCCAGCCACACUGGGACUGAGACACGGCCCAGACUCCUACGGGAGGCAGCAGUGGGGAAUUUUGGACAAUGGGCGCAAGCCUGAUCCAGCAAUGCCGCGUGAGUGAAGAAGGCCUCGGUUGUAAGACUCUUUCAGUUGAAAGAAAAAUACAUAGACUAAUAAUACAUGAUUCAUGACGGUAUCAACAGAAGAAGACACC